RNAcentral lists this ribosomal RNA (256 nucleotides) under uncultured bacterium. RNAcentral describes it as "partial 16S ribosomal RNA". It matches the Rfam family "Bacterial small subunit ribosomal RNA", at positions 524 to 776 of the family's 1533-position model. The record is from RNAcentral.
UACGUAGGGGCCGAGCGUUGUCCGGAGUUAUUGGGCGUAAAGCGCGCGCAGGCGGCCUCGCGCGCCCGACGUGAAAAGCCCCCCGGCUUAACCGGGGGAGGGUCGUUGGGGACGGUGGGGCUUGAGGGCGGGAGAGGUCGGUGGAAUUCCCGGUGUAGUGGUGAAAUGCGUAGAGAUCGGGAGGAACACCUGUGGCGAAAGCGGCUCACUGGACCACAACUGACGCUGAGGCGCGAAAGCUAGGGGAGCAAACAGG